Small nucleolar RNA from Panicum hallii, 128 nucleotides. The record is from RefSeq and is a predicted model, not a curated record. NCBI's taxonomy places the organism in Eukaryota, Viridiplantae, Streptophyta, Magnoliopsida, Poales, Poaceae.
AUCCCGGAUUAACUCGCUUAGCUGUUCUUCUGAUUCAUGGGAGGCCAAGAUCGAUGUUUUCUGGGAGUUUCGCUGAUAGCGCCUUCUUUACUCGUGGAGGCGCUUCAUUAGUAACUCGCCACACAAAA